Molecule: long non-coding RNA, 1132 nt
Organism: Apis florea (little honeybee)
Lineage: Eukaryota; Metazoa; Arthropoda; Insecta; Hymenoptera; Apidae
Source: RefSeq, a predicted model, not a curated record
GAACGAAAUUCAUGAUUCUUAUGAUAUGUUCAAAAAAGAAGAAUAUUCUACGAAAAAUGAAAAUUAUUAAUUAUUGUUAGUAUUGACAAUAAUCUUGUAUGAAAUAUUGGUAUUGAGCCCACAAACAUUGCAAGAAAAUUUUAUCGUGUAAUUAUUUUUACAAAUAUUUCUUUAAUUUUUUCGCAUUAUUAUCAUUCACAAUUUGAAUCUUAAUUACAAAAUCUAAAAUCUAUUUAAAACAAUAACGAACGUCUAUUCCACAAAACAGUCAAUCAAAUAAACAAGAAAGUAGUUAAGCGUGCUACUGAAGCUCGGUACAUUUGCACCUGCGGGUCUUCCUUGAAGAAUUAGUCACUAGAAGCGGAACAAUCGUUAAGUAACACGAAAGGACGUUUUGUGCGAUCUCCUAAUAUUGGAUGAAACGUUUCUUGAUCAAAUUCCAGUGCAUUUAUGCUUGUAUAUUGUGCUAGAAACUGUUGGGAAUAGGAUAUUCAGAUGGUAACUCUGUCCAUGUUACAAAACAGAGAUCAACAGAGAACUUCUCUUGCUCUAGCAUCUCACGAUGUCGACGACAUACAUCCGACCAGUGUAUAACGUAUAGUGACCAUACGGCAUACGUACAGAUGCUUCAUCAUAAUAGUUUCUAUUUUCGGUUGGAGGGUUGGCUACACAUAGGUGCAGAUGUUCACUGCUGAGCUAAAAGCAUUUUAGGGGGAGAAGGUCGAACUUGGUGCCAUGUAUUUUCAAGAGAUUAAUAGGCAAAUAGAUGAAUUGAAUCUAGUUUUCAAUAAAAAACAUGUUUAAAAAUUAUAAAAUAAAGUCAGUUUAUAAAAAUAAUGAAGUAUAAUUUAUGAAUUAGAAUUGAAGAAAAAGAUAUUUGUUUUUAUAUAUUUUAUAUAUAUUUAAUAUAUAUACUAAGAAAGUUUUUUCACUAGCAGUAUUGUAAAACGAAGAUACAAAUCGAAAUCUUAAUGAAAAUACAAAGGAUACUAUGAAGACAUUGAACGAAUAAAUGAAAUACAGUAGUAAGUAAGAAAAAAAAAUGAAUGAAAUGUAGCGACAUUGGCUAAGAACGGCCUUCAAAGUGUACUCGAAUACUCUGCUAACGCAAUAAAAGACUCGACUAUAGACA